UUGGGUUCCUCAGGAUGCUAAUAGGUAAACUUGUGUUCCUCAGGAUGCUAAUAGGUAAACUUGUGUUCCUCAGGAUGCUAAUAGGUAAACUUGUGUUCCUCAGAGUGGUAGUAGUAAACUUGUGUUCCUCAGGAUGCUAAUAGGUAAACUUGUGUUCCUCAGAGUGGUAGUAGUAAACUUGUAUUCCUCAGGAUGCUAAUAGGUAAACUUGUGUUCCUCAGGAUGCUAAUAGGUAAACUUGUGUUCCUCAGGAUGCUAAUAGGUAAUCUUGUGCUCCUCAGGUUGACCGGAUCUAAACUUGUGUUG
Molecule: long non-coding RNA, 306 nt
Organism: Ictalurus punctatus (channel catfish)
Lineage: Eukaryota; Metazoa; Chordata; Actinopteri; Siluriformes; Ictaluridae
Source: Ensembl